This 397-nucleotide long non-coding RNA is filed under the name Ricinus communis (castor bean). RNAcentral's name for it is "long non-coding RNA (RCOM_LNC002058)". Lineage: Eukaryota; Viridiplantae; Streptophyta; Magnoliopsida; Malpighiales; Euphorbiaceae. The record is from RNAcentral.
UUUUCCUCCUCUACAGCUGAUUCCACUAAUUUGCUUUUCUCCUGAUGUUGUGGAGAAGGAGGCUCGAAAGGAUCCCAUAUAUUCCAUGAGGAAGUCACAAUUGGAGGAGGUGGUGGGGUAGAACAAUCAUCCUCAUUAAUGCUUAUGCUUUCUUCUCUAUCAAUUUCUUGUUUCUGAUUAUCAGUCGACUUUCUUAAAUCAGGGCUAAAAGGAGGAGGCGGCGGAGGAGAGGGAGGCAAAGGAAGAGGAGGGGAAGGAGGCAAUGCCUGUACAUAGGAGGUAUUUUCAAGCUCUUCAAGUUCUAAUGACUCUGACUCAGUGAAUUGCCUAAGGGUUACACCAGUAUUCUUCAGUGCUCUCAAAUAAGCAAGUUGAGCUUCUGCAAAUUCUCCUCGAA